GACGAACGCUGGCGGCGUGCUUAACACAUGCAAGUCGAACGAAGAGCGAUGGAAGCUUGCUUCUAUCAAUCUUAGUGGCGAACGGGUGAGUAACGCGUAAUCAACCUGCCCUUCGGAGGGGGACAACAGUUGGAAACGACUGCUAAUACCGCAUACGAUCUAAUCUUGGCAUCGAGGAUAGAUGUAAGGUGGCCUCGACAUGUAAGCUAUCACUGAAGGUGGGGAUUGCGUCUGAUUAGCAAGUCGGAGGGGUCACGGCCCCCCAUGGCGAUGAUCAGUAGCCGGACUGAGAGGAUGGACGGCCGCAUUGGGAGUGAGACACGGCCCAGACUGCUACGGGAGGCAGCAGUGGGGAAUCUUCCGCAAUGGACGGAAGUCAGACGGAGCAACGCCGCGUGAGUGAUGACGGCCGUCGGGUUGGAAAGCUCUGUUAAUCGGGACGAAAGGCCUUCUUGCGAAUAGUGAGAAGGAUUGACGGUACCGGAAUAGAAAGCCACGGCUAACUACGUG
RNAcentral lists this ribosomal RNA (510 nucleotides) under uncultured bacterium. RNAcentral's name for it is "partial 16S ribosomal RNA". It matches the Rfam family "Bacterial small subunit ribosomal RNA", at positions 28 to 507 of the family's 1533-position model. The record is from RNAcentral.